GGGGGCGUAAUGGUUUCGACGGGGGACGUGGUGGAAAGAGUAGCGAGCCGGGUUGCCGCCAGCCCGUAAAAAAGGUGGACCAGUAAUAACUGCCAACAGCGAAUACGCACUGGCUGCCUAAGGGCAGCCCGUCCUCCCAGCCUCCGCCCGCGGGGCUGGAUCGGGGCGUCACACACGCGGGCUGACCUGCAGGUCCUUCUCCCAGGGGACCGCCAGGGACAUUUACUGGGAUAGCCUCCGGGAAGCCUGUCCAUGGGCGUCCCGGCGGUGAACGCAAAACAGGGACUGCGCUCGGAGAAGCUCUUUUGGUCACUCUUUCGGACGGGGGUUCGACUCCCCCCGCCUCCACCA
RNAcentral lists this transfer-messenger RNA (351 nucleotides) under Syntrophomonadaceae bacterium. It matches the Rfam family "transfer-messenger RNA". Rfam says of the family: Bacterial tmRNA, also known as 10Sa RNA or SsrA, is named for its dual tRNA and mRNA-like properties. Its role is to liberate the mRNA from a stalled ribosome. The record is from RNAcentral. Lineage: Bacteria; Bacillati; Bacillota; Clostridia; Eubacteriales; Syntrophomonadaceae.